RNAcentral lists this long non-coding RNA (246 nucleotides) under Elaeis guineensis (African oil palm). RNAcentral describes it as "long non-coding RNA (EGUI_LNC008441)". Lineage: Eukaryota; Viridiplantae; Streptophyta; Magnoliopsida; Arecales; Arecaceae. The record is from RNAcentral.
CCUCGGCCAGGCGACCUUCCUCUGCCUGGGCGGCCUCCUUCCUAGCAUUGUUUAUCACCUCGAUGUUGGUGAUGAGCUGGUGUCCAAUCUGCAAGAGCGGCCAGGGAGUCAAUAUAAAAGCUGAGGAAUAAGCUAAGUAAAGAGGCAAGAAGAAGAAAGGAGUAAAUUGACCUACCUCAAGAAAGGACCCCAGAGAGUCCCAGACCCGCUGCUCAGGAUCGACGUGAACGAUCCUGUGGACGACCU